AGUUUCUAUUGAGUCCGAACAGAAAGUGCAUUUAUUGUUUUGUGAGACUUUAAUUUUGUAGAGUAAUUUAUUAGUUCCCAAAAUUCUGUGAUUAAUCCUGUAUUGGAGCCACUGUAAUUUUGAGUUUUUAGUAAUGUAAAACGGAAGUCUGUAUAUUUUAUUCCAAAUAAUAUUAUGUCUAUUUAAGAUUAAGGACCACUUUUCCUGUGA
RNAcentral lists this long non-coding RNA (210 nucleotides) under Mytilus galloprovincialis (Mediterranean mussel). The record is from RNAcentral. Lineage: Eukaryota; Metazoa; Mollusca; Bivalvia; Mytilida; Mytilidae.